ACAAUAUAUAUUUUGUGUGGACUAUAAUUAUUUGACUUCUUCUUCGUACAUCGAUCUUUUGUAAACAUCAUCAAGGAAGAUCUGGAAAAAAUCUGUCAGUGAACUGCAUAUUUGAAAUGAAAGAACUGAAGAUUCACUGUACACUGCUAAAUGCAUCUGCAGUAAUGUUUCUGUUCCACAUAUCUUCAAGUAAACCCUCAAAACUGAGGUCAGAUUAAAAGUGAACUGUGUAUUGGAAAUGAAAGAACUGAAGAUUCACUGUACACUGCUAAAUGCUUUUGCAGUAUUGUUUGUGUUCUACAUAUCUUCAAGUAAACCCUCAAAACUGAGGUAAUAAGUUUCCAAUCGGUUGCUACUGAUAGUCGGCAGACAACAAAACAAUUUCCUGUAUUUAAGGACUAUCAGCAUGUUUAUCUUGUUUUUUUCUGGUAUGAUAGGCUUAUGGUCUUCACUCUGAUCUUGUUAUUCCCACAUCCAGUAUUUCUGUAGUCUUGGAUUAAUUGCUUCAGAUCCUGACAUGUAUUUUCUUACAGCACAUGUCAAAUUGGCAUGCAAUGAAACUUUCUUUACAUGAACCUCUAUUCAUAUCAAUUGCCUAUGACUGGUGCUACCUUUUGUAGAAGACAUUUGUUAUCCGUUCCCAUCUAAUUCAGGUGUCAUUCAUGUCUACACCUUUCUACAUGCUGCCCAUUUUUGUAUUAGAGAAGCAUUUUCAUAAUACCCAUGAAGUUCUCGUCAAGAUUUCCUUCAACUUUUCUAUUAAUACAUCUUGUACAACACCUCAGUGAGUGGAUUUUUUAUGAAUUGGUACAUAUUUCAGUAUUGAAGCUACUUGUCCAUAUAUGUGAUAUUUUAUGAUAAUUAUACUCAUCUAAGGAUAGAGAGAUGGUUUUGGAAUACUUACAUAAACCCUUUCAUUCAUAUGUUCAUUUUGUAGUGAGUGAAUAAAGUUUUGUGUCGCUUUUAUCACAGCAGGGGAUGCUAGAGAUGGGUUUCACACAUUUUACCCGCAUUUCACACAUUUUCGCUUUGGCACUUUAAACACAAGGCUAUCCCACCACCAUUCAUUUUGUAACUCACCACCUCUCAAACUGAUGGUUGAGACGUUAGACAUCACUUUAACUUAUUUCAUGUUUCUAUAAAUCUUUUUUGGGUGACACAAAUCUUCACAUAUUCAUGAAUGAAGUAAACAGGGAAAUGUGUGUAAUUCUUUAUGAUAUAUACAACUGUCAACACAUGAUGAACAAUCUCCACUGCACAAUAUAAACGACAACCCACAUAUGAAACUUGAAGUUGAAAAAAAGAACUCUAAACACAUGAUAAUAAGUGAUAUUAACUUAAAAAUGCACAAACCUCAAUAAUGUUUUUAUUUAACAAAAAAACUGCACAGCACACUGUAAUGCUUGAACUUAUAUUUAAAAAAACAUUGCACAUCUGCAUAAUAAAAAAUACAUUAUAAACUAUAGUUGAGAGUAAUGAAUGAAUGGUCAUUUCAUUUUCUUUUCAUUUUGGCAUACCGGGUAAUUGCAAAUCAACUAAUGAAAGUACUGGCAAAAGGCUUUCUUGUAGUUCGGACCACGAGGCGCUGUUUGUGUUUUUAAUGAUUAUUUAUAUGCUUGUAGAUGUCGUACUGUAUACAUGUCCCUUUGUAAGGUCUAGUUACUUCACACAAUUUGUUUUGUUUCUAACACAUUUUUAGCAUUUUCAAAUAUUAAGUAACAUUUUCAUCAUGGAUACAAAAAAAUAUUUGACUGUGAAUAUAUUUAUUUAUAUCUAGCUGAAUCUUCUUCAAGUCAUCCUCGUACUGUGCGAAACUAUACCUACCAUAGUUAAUAAGUUAUGAAUAUGUUUGUAUUUGUGAUUGUUUUUGUAAAUAAUAUGACAAAAUAGCAAACGGAUCCAUUACUUCUGUAUAUACCAUUGUAUCUGACAUACUAAAGUCCACGACACUGGAUAAUGUUGUUAUUAUCAACCAGGUUCAUAGUGCAUAUAUAACAUUUGAUCAUAUUGUGGCCAAUUUCCAUGUAAGACGUUGGGAAGCUGAUAGGUGAUCUCCAGUAUGAGCUCGGCUGUAAGGAUUUGCCAUCAUGCUGAUGUCAGAGGUGUGGCUUGGAGACUGGAUAUGUUUUUGUCAUUGUUUAAAGCCUGCAAUAUUUUCCAGGGAGCUGAACUGAUAUCUUAGUAUGCAACCAAUCUUUUUAAGGGGGAAUAUCAAGCAAUAGUGUGUUUUUUUGCUGCAGUUUGGACUGGAACUUUUAAAGAUAGUAACUUGAGAUGUUCUAUGGAUUAUAGGGAAGAACAUUUGGUAACAUGAUCAUAGGAAACUGAAGGAUGGUAACAUGAGGUGUUAUAUUGAUCAAAGGAAACUGAAGGAUGGUAACAUGAGGUGUUAUAUUGAUCAUAGGAAACUGAAGGAUGGUAACAUGAGGUGUUAUAUUGAUCAUAGGAAACUGAAGGAUGGUAACAUGAGGUGUUAUAUUGAUCAUAGGAAACUGAAGGAUGGUAACAUGAGGUGUUAUAUUGAUCAUAGGAAACUGAAGGAUGGUAUUAUGAGGUGUUAUAUUGAUCAUAGGAAACUGAAGGAUGGUAACAUGAGGUGUUAUAUUGAUCAUAGGAAACUGAAGGAUGGUAUUAUGAGGUGUUAUAUUGAUCAUAGGAAACUGAAGGGUGGUAACAUGAGGUAUUAUGUUGAUCACAGGAAACUGAAGGGUGGUAUUACGAGGUGUUAUAUUGAUCACAGGAAACUGAAGGGUGGUAUUAUGAGGUGUUAUAUUGAUCACAGGAAACUGAAGGGUGGUAUUAUGAGGUGUUAUAUCGAUCACAGGAAACUGAAGGGUGGUAACAUGAGGUGUUAUGUUGACAAUAUCAUCUGACUGAUUAGGUUCACACAAUGAUGGGAUAUUGACUAUAAGAAACUGAAGCAUGGGAAGAUAACAGAGUUACAUUGUCUAUAGGAAACUGAAGGAUGCUUACCAUGGGAAAAUGAACAAUGGAAAGGCAAGAUACAGCUGCAUUGGUUAUAGGAAAGUAAAUGCUUGAAAUGACAAGAUAAGAUUGAGAUUUGUUUAACAGACAUAACUGAAUAAUCAAAAGAUGCCAUACAUUUACAUUGGUUAAAAGAAACUGAAGGAUGCUUAUUAUAGAAGGCUGAACAAUGGAAUGACGAGUUUUGUUUACACUGGUUGUAGGAAACUGAAGAAUGCCUGUUUCGGCAUUCAAGCAUUGUUAGCCACAUUAACAGUUCACCAUACUUUUUGUAUGGCGUUGUCAAAUUUAAAACAUUUUUGGUUUUCAUGUCACAUCUGUGUGCAUGAAACAAUAUAAGUGCUAUUUUUGCAUGAGCCUCAAAGCUUCUGCCAGUCAGUGCAAUCAAGUACAUACCAUCACACACCAUGUCAUAUGAAUUUUCACAGGAUCUUAGUAUAUCGUGAUUUUGUAUGUGUGAAAUAUUAUAUUUAUUGUUAUUUUUAUAUAUUGAUAUGUGUCACUGCGUUUCAUGUAUCUCUUGUUUAAUUAGAGUUAUCUCCCUUCCCAACUAUUUCUUUUUCUUUUUAUUACCAGUGUGUAUUAGUUGUAUUUUGGUACGGCACGGUAUUUGUGAUUAUUGUAGCAAUUGAAUGAAUACAAUUCAAAUGUAGUUAACGCAUAUCCUUUGUGUUUUUGGUAGGAAAUAGUGUGGGUUUUCUAUAGUUGAAAUAUCAUUGAAAUUCUUGCCUGGUCGGAGGGGAGAUAACUCUUUUUUCCAUGCUGUGAUGUGAAACUUGCUCAUUAUGUUGGCAAUGUUUGCAAGAACACACAACUGGGGUAUGUUUGCAGUAUGACUACACAACUACAAGAUUACUGUAAUAGCUUUUGACAAUUCACCUUCAAAUAUACACAUCACUAAUAUGUGUAUAAAUACAGUCAGCCCUCUUUGAGCAAUGAACUUUUCAGUUCUACAAAAAGCAGUGGAUAUAUAUCUCUGUGGUGCUACCACUAAGGCAAUGUAUCCAUGAAUGUAUAUGUAUUAGUUGUUAACCCAUAUAUGGUAUGGAACCAUUUGACUUAGCCAGUGCACCUGGAGUUAAAGUGUCUACCACUGUCUCCCGUGCUGUACAUUGUGAUGUUCACACAGUGGAACAGUAGUGCAAGUAUUCCCGGUUGUGUGCCAGUGUUAUCGUCUGCUCAUGUUGUCAAGUAUAGGGCCACACAAUGCGGCUGUCAUUUGUGUUGUCAAAACAUUUUACAAGGAAAAAAAAGAACUGAAAAUAAACUGAUAGAAACCA
RNAcentral lists this long non-coding RNA (4265 nucleotides) under Haliotis rubra (blacklip abalone). RNAcentral's name for it is "uncharacterized LOC124289611, transcript variant X1". The record is from RNAcentral. Lineage: Eukaryota; Metazoa; Mollusca; Gastropoda; Lepetellida; Haliotidae.